UAGUAGCUGGUUCCCUCCGAAGUUUCCCUCAGGAUAGCUGGCACUCGUUUCAAAGCGAGUCUCAUCUGGUAAAGCGAAUGAUUAGAGGCCUCUUGGGGCCGAAACGACCUCAACCUAUUCUCAAACUUUAAAUGGGUGAGAUCUCUGGCUUGCUUGAAACUUGAAGCCACGAGAUUAACAUUGUAAAAAUGGAUCAGAGGCCAAGGGCCAAU
This 212-nucleotide ribosomal RNA is filed under the name Eucharis sp. D1843. Its description in RNAcentral is "partial 28S ribosomal RNA". It matches the Rfam family "Eukaryotic large subunit ribosomal RNA", at positions 945 to 1135 of the family's 3401-position model. Lineage: Eukaryota; Metazoa; Arthropoda; Insecta; Hymenoptera; Eucharitidae. The record is from RNAcentral.